Molecule: ribosomal RNA, 253 nt
Filed under: uncultured bacterium
Lineage: Bacteria
Description: partial 16S ribosomal RNA
Rfam family: Bacterial small subunit ribosomal RNA
Source: RNAcentral
UACGUAGGGGGCAAGCGUUGUCCGGAAUCAUUGGGCGUAAAGCGCGUGUAGGCGGCCCGAAAAGUCUGGUGUGAAAUCUUGAGGCUCAACCUCAAGCUGUCACUGGAUACUGUCGGGCUUGAGUCUGGAAGAGGAGUGUGGAAUUCCUGGUGUAGCGGUGGAAUGCGCAGAUAUCAGGAGGAACACCAAUGGCGAAGGCAGCACUCUGGUACAUGACUGACGCUGAGACGCGAAAGCGUGGGGAGCAAACAGG